CAACGGCGACUUCCUGCCGUACGCCUACACCACCGGAGCCCGAGGUCAAAGACCCGUCCCAGCAGCCCUACCGGUUCGAGUCGGUGCUCAACAACGGACUCGACGAUCUCAAGUCGUGGAGGGUUUGUGGGGUUUACUAACAAUGAGUACUUGGUCUCUGCCUCCAAUACCGGUUUGGCCGACGGGGGUAGCAUUCCUGGGAGUGUGGGAAACGGCACCGUCUUUGCUGGGUAUCCGAUGACCGAUCUGAAAACGGCGGUUAAGACGGCGGGGGACUUGACCCAGAUGCAGGUUCAGGUCAAAUUGACCGGGACCCAGUUCGGUGUGGCCCCACCCAAAGUUCCCAUGCCUUCCAAUCUUACUUUGGCCAAUGAUGGGUUCGUCUGCCCAGCGGCUGCAAUGCAAGGUGAGCUCUUAAACUUCAUUUGGGUAAUUUGGAUUUGUUUUCUUUUGGUACAUUUUUUGGAUGUUGCUGUUUGAUGGUCUUUGAUCUGGAGUAAGCAGAUCUAAUUUAACUGUUGUGAAGUGAAUACUUUUCAUAGCCGCAGAUCUAAUUUAGGUGUUGAGAAUUGAGUUUUUAUUAUUUUUAUUAUUUUUUUUCUUUUGAGAAACGUGAAUUGAAUACUUUUGAUGGCUUAUAUAUAUGAAGUAUCCAAUCAUGUUUUGAAUGUUUAUUCUAUAACAGUAUAGAAUCAGUUGAAUUUGAUGAGAGAAUGCUUGGUAUUUGGAUUGUGUAUAGUGGUUUAUUGAACAAUUUAAUUCAGUACGAGGUGGACCGUAUGAGUCUCAUUAGGAUAUGCAUCUGUAUGCAAACUGCCUCAAAGCUGUUGACUUGCCUUCAGUCACUAGGAGCUUUGUUAGUCUUGGGGUCGUCGUAGUUACAACAGAGAACAAGAUGUCUUCCAUGUUAGUUUUUUCGUUUUUGGAAGACAAUGGUAGUGGAUAUAUGCGAGGAAAAGAUAUACAGAGAAAAAAAUGCUAUAACAUUAGGGUAUAUCUUUCGUUUUUCUUUUGGUUGUACUGAGAUCAUUGGUUUCCAUGUUUCCUUCAUAUUAUUAGACAGUCGGUUUAAGGAUAUUCUUUUAUGUAGACCAACUUGUUUAUAAUAACAAGAUUUUACCACGGUAACAUACAUUUGAGUUUUUACCGUAAGUUGGGUUUUCAUUUUCGACUUUUAUAACCCAUGUUAAUCAGCACACUCUUACACUGCUCUGGUAAUGUUGGGACCCAUGAAAUGCAAGUGUCUGUUGCACUGUAGACACAAAAUUUAAAACAAACAUCACCAUGGAUGAAGAGUUCCUCCCUCGUCAAAAAGUAGAUCUUACAAUUAUGUAUGAUGCAAUCAGAUUGCCCAUCUAACUUGCCACCAAUGUGAAACACAGCUCAUUUCAACGCAUCAUUAUAAAUGGUUCAGGGUCUAAAGCCGCAAGUGGCGCUUUGGAACUGAUGGUUAAAGAUAAUGUCAAUUUCACUGUGGCAUUUACUGCCUGCAAGAUUGCUAACGGGAGCAUUGUUGGACACUUGUGCAGGGGGUGCUAUUGGUUUGACAUUUGAGCUCGGAUGGAAUUGAAUUGCUUCUUGAAGCAAAUGUUCUCGACUUGCAUUGGGUAUACUAUGAAUUGCUUACAAAAUUGUAAGAACAAUGCGUGUUCCUUAUCUAUAAAAUUGAAUCUGUGUUAGCACAUGCGAUUAGGAAUUAGGCAGAGUAAAUAAGUGAUUUUGGGUUGAUUUAAUUUCAUUACUAUUGUUAUUUGUAGAAAUUAACCGAGCCUUGUUUUUUUUUUUCCUUGUGUCAGGGGCAUGGGAAAAGGAACAAGUGACCCAUUGGUUCUAUGUCACCCUUUCAUUGAGCCGAAUGGGGGUUUCUAUACGUAGAAGGUUACUUUUAAAACCAAAUGGGUAGUUUCGUUGGCUUUCAAAGGAGGACAAAAAGUCACAGUACUCCCAAUUUUUUCUUAAUCGGUUGAAGGUAUGAGAAGUUUUGUGGUUAAUGGUGCACUGUUUCAUAUAUGUUUGACAAGGAAGGAAGUCUUGGAAAACUUCGUGGUAAUUAAACCCCCGACCACGAAGUUCUCCAAGUCUUCCUUUCUUGUCAAACAUACAUGAAACAAUGUACCAUUAACCACAAAGUUUCUUACAUCUUCAACUGAUCGAGCAAAAAUUGGGAGAACUGUGACUCUUUGUGCUCCUUCGAAAACCAACGAAACAACCCAUUUGGUUUUAAAGGUGACCUUCUGUGUGUAGAAACCUCCCAUCAGCUCAAUGAGAGGGUGGCCUAGAGCCACCAAUGAGUCACUCAUUCCCUUCCCUAUGUCCUGUCACAGAAAAAAAACAUAAGUUCGGUUAACUUCUACAAAUAACAAUAGUAAUGAAAUUAAAGCAACCCAAAAUUACUCUGCCCAAUUCAUGAUCGCGUGUGCUAACACAAAUUUAAUUUUAUAAAUAAGGAACACACUUUGUUCUUGCAAUUUUGUGAGCAACUCAUGGUAUACCCAAUGCAGGUUGAGGACAUUUGCUUCAAAAAGCAAUUCAAUCUCAUCCGAGUUCAAAUGUCGAACCAAUAGCACCCCUCAUGUAUAAGUGUCCAACAAUGCUUCCAUUAAGAGGGUAAUCUUACAUGCAGUAAAUGCUACAUUGACAUUAUCUUUAACCAUCAGUUCCAAAACGCCACUUGCGGCUUGAGACCCUAAACGAUUUAUAAUGAUGUGUUGAAAUGAGCUAAGUUAGAUGGACAAAGGGAAAUUAAUGAUGUUGUGUUGAAAUGGUGGGAAUACAUUUGGUUCAGUAGGGGACACUCGUGGUUAAUUAGUUGCUAAUAACUAUGUAUACUGAGUGAGCUAUGUUAAAAUUAGCAGAGUCGUUGUUGGGCUUAACUUGUACACACAGGUUCAUAUGUGGAAAGAUGACAUUUGUGGUGGCGCAGACACAAACAAGAUGCAAAAUCCACGUGGUGUGCAUGGUUUUUUACUAGUAUUCAGCCAAAUAUAUUUAGUACACCAAAUACUAUUGCAUUGGAGGAUGAUUUCCCCAUCCUUGCUAUCUUAUCUACUUGGUAAGCAUCUGUAAUGUAACAGUAAUUUUUUGCCCAGAAAUGAGACUCAUAACACCAAAAACAUCAUUCUUUUGCACAAAGUAAGAAUCAUGGUUGCAAACAACAAUCAUGAUUUUGUUGAACGAGUGUCGUAUUCUAAAACGACCUCUAAAUUACGUAUUAGGGAAUGCAUUGAUAUAGACAAAAUAAUUGUCCAAGUGAUCAUUACCUCAUCGUUGCCUGCUUCUAUCAAUGUUUGCAGAAUGCUUGGGCCUGAAGAUUUCAACCACAUCUUGGAUGACUCGACGGGAAUGUGAGGUUCUUUGGUUUCUUGCUUCGUCAUCUCACUUUCUACACUCAUCUUCCUCUUCCAUCUCAUUCUCCCUCCUAGAGAUUGAACAUUUAUUCCCCUUCCUUAAACAAUUCUUUCUUUUGCUCAUCGAUUUCCCACAUCCUUGAAGAAGACAUUGUAAGAAGGAAAUAAAAACUAAGGAUAAAGAUUUUGAGAGAUUUUGAUUUUGGUAUGUGAUUUCUUAGGAUGGAUGGUGGGUUAUAUGGAGAAAAAAGAAAUGAUUAGGUUGUAGUUAAUGUCACGCGGCACGUCGUGAUUUGUUUAAAAAUCUUAUCGAAAUCUAUCCUCAAAGAUUCUAAACAGAUUGUGACACGUAGCGCGAUGAGAUUUGUCAAAAAUCUUAUUGGAAAUCUAUUGUCAACUAUUCUAAAAAGGUAAUGACACGUGACACGAUGAAGUUGGAUAAAAAGCUUAUCGAAAUCUAUCACAACAAAUUGUACUUUCGUAUAAUGACACGUGACGUAACGAGACCGAUUAAAAAUCAUAUCCAAAAUUACAAAUAAAAUUAUUUUUUUAUUAUUUUAUAAAAUAAAAAAUACUAAUAUGUUGUUGCUUAUUGUCAUGGCUAUUCAGUAUGGGGGUGGAGAUGCAAAAGGUAAUUACUGUUCAUUAAAGGCAGUUAUUAUUCUAUGGAAGGGGAUUCAAUUGCCAAUUGUCAUGGGGGUCUUCCUACAUUGGAAGUGCUCUAAGAGCAUUUUCAAUGGAGAUGUCAAAAGAUAAAUGUUAAUUUGAUGAUUGACGUGACAAUGUUAGAUUAUCUCUUUUUCCAAUCGAUAUGUUUUUUUUGUUAUAAAUGAUAUUUGAUGGACUCAUUUUAAAAAAGAACUCACUUAAAAUAAAAUUUCAAGAUCUAUAAUUGGUGCAUUAAUGAGAUUCACAUAAUAAAAUAAUUAAAAAUUAUUUGACAUCACAUUUCUCAUAUGUCAAUUCACAGAAGAUUAACAUAUUAGUUGGAGCUUACUCAUGUCCUUAAUUUUGAUUACAUAACAAUCCACUUAGGAUUUGACAUCUCCUUUUAAGAUGGUCUAAAUCAUAGCCUUCUAUUUUUUGCAAUCGACAAAUCUCUCUCUCUCUCUCUCUCUCUCUCUCUCUCUCUCUCUCUCUCUCUCUCUCUCUCUCUCUCUCUCUCUCUCUCUCUCUCUCUCUCUCUCUCUCUCUCUCUCUCUGUGCGCGAGCGCACAAAUGCAUACUUACUGAAACAUCACAUAUACAUUCAGGUUGUAGUAAAUUUCUAAUGCAUAGUAAUUUCUAAAGCAUUAGUACUCUCAACAAAUUAUGAAACACGAUAACUAUAUUCAACAAAAGAAAUCUUGGCUAACAAAGUUAGGACAAAUGAUUAGUUCAGCCCAAUCAUGUGUUUGAAAUCCUAGCUUCGUCUCUGCAUAUAUAUUCUUAAUCUGGUAUAAAAUGGACAAGAAAGAAUAAAUUUUGUCAAAAUUAUACGUAGGAACAACACUGUAUUAUUAUAUAUACAUGUUCAUAUUCGACAGAAGACAAAAUACUUGUUGUCAAGAAAUAAGUGAUGUAGAAUGAGUUGUUAAAGAACACGAAUGAGGAUCUUCUUCGGAUUCUCUUUGUGAGGAUCCCAGAGAUCAUUUAAUCAUAUCCGUUUAUCGUAUAUCGUGCGGUCAUAAAUUAUUAUUAAAUUUUUAUUUAAAAUUGAAUAUAAACAGUACUUGACGAAAAUUAACUGCACGAUAUACGAUGAAUGGACGUGGUUGAAGGAUUUCCGGAAUACUCAUAAAGAGGAUCCUCAUUUAAAGAAUACAUAUAUAGAUAUGGGCAAGCUGGCAUGCAUAAAAUAAAAUAAAAAGAUUCUGCUCUUUUUGGUUGGAAAAUUGAUAAAUCAGAUUGUUAACUUGUAAAGUUAAUAUCAGUUAAUUACCUCUUGGUUAAUCAAAUAUUAGUAAAGAUUUUUUGUCCAAAAUGAUUAGUUAUACCAUUUCUUAUUUCCCACCAGCCACUGAGUAGUUAGGGUUGAGAGGUCGGGUAAUUUCAGAGCCCCCACUUAAUUAGUAAUUAGCUAGUUGGAUUGGAUAAUAACAACAAUAAUACUGCAGUGCAUGCCCAUCACAUGGUUACCAGCAAUAUGGGGGAGUCCAGUGAUGCAUUUUUCACGCAGCUAACACUGGCACAGAAAUAAACAAACAGGAAUCCGAUCCUCCUGCAUUACAUAUAUAUAUAUAUAUAUAUAUAUAUAUAUAUAUAUAUAUAUAUAUAAUGCAAUACGAAAUUUAUAACUCAAGUAGUUAAGAAUCAUUACUUUUCAUCCGAAAUCUUGUGUUUGAUUUCUCUGUGAUCUUUAAUUAGGAUGAGUUGGCCUUACUAGGAGGGAAAUGAAUGAACCUCUCUUGCCAUUUGGUGCCAACCGACCAACACGCAACUCCAUAGAUAAGUUCGUAUGAAUUGACAUAAAUGUUACAGCUAAAUAAUUAUUCACAAUAGGGUUCUAAUUUAUAAUUUAAUCAGAUCAACAUAUAUAUUUGUAAUAUAUGUAUGGAAAUAGUAUAAGCACAUCACAAUUAUUAUGGGUUCUACAAUCUGCUUAUAGUGGUCACAAUUCACAAUACAUUGAAAAAUAAUGCACUUCCCCUUUACCAAAUUACUCUGUUGGGGCGACUAGCUAUAAGAGCAACUCCAGCCUUGCUGGUUGCUCGGGGGACAGUGGAGAGGAAAGGGCCCGAGGCCCUGUGGACUGAGCUCCAGCCGUGUGGAGCCCGAGCGACGGUGGGAGCCCGAGCGAAGGGGGGGUGGGGAGUCGACGGGCCUGUGGCCCGAGGGCUUUGCAAUUUUUUAUUUUUUAUUUUGUGUCAGAGAGAGAGAGAGAGAGAGAGAGAGGGGGACCGGAGAUUUGUUUUGUGUGUGAGAGAGAGAGAGAGAGGGGGGGACCGGAGCUGGGCUUCCAUGGGUGCGGAAGGGAAGUGGGUCGUCGCGGGGGGGGGAGGGUGGGUCGUCGCGGGGGCAAGGGGUGGGGGGUGGGUCGUCGCGGCGGCCGGGGGGGGGGGAGGUAGCUGGGUUCUGGUUUUUUGCAGGGGGUUCUCGGGGGUAGGAGGAGAGGUGGAAGAAAUGGAUCUGGGUUCGGGUUUCUGUUUUUUAUUUUUAAUUUUUUUUUUAAUUUUUAAUUUUUUUUAAUUGGAUUAAUAUUAUAAUAUUUUUAAUGUAUAAAAAAUUAUUUAUUUUUACCAAAGAUUUUGAAAAGAUAACGACACAUGACACGAUAACAUUGGAUAAAAAUCUUAUCGAAAUCAUUCGCUAAAUAAUUGUUUUUUUUGAUAAAAUGACACGUGACGCAACGAGAACGAUUUAAGAAUUUUUAUCCGAAAUUACAAAUAAUUUUAUUUUGUAUUAUUUAAACAAACAAAAAAAACUAUUAUUUUAAUUGUCUAUUGCCAGGGGGAGGGCUCCAAGGGUGGAGAUGCAAAUGGCAAUUACUGUUCAUUUAUGGCAGUUACUAUUCAUUAAAGGCAGUUACUAUUCAAAAGGGUGGAUUCAAUAGUGGAUUGCCAGGGGGAAUGGCUCGAUGGGUGGAGUUGCUCUAAAGGAUCAUUGAAAGAUGUCGGUCCUUUUGUCUCUUUAAUUUUAUCCUAACAUAACUAUUAAAUGGAAAUUCCAACCAAAUUUACAUUCCAACAAAAUAAAAAUCAUGUUUAUAUUCUUUAAUUUUUACUUUUGUAAAUAAACAAUAUUAGUUAAGUUGGCUACACACUAGUGUGUUUUACUCCUUCCAUUUAAAUUCGAAUCCUCAACUCUUUAGUUUAGACAAAUUUUAUAUAUCGUUCAAAAAUUGUUUGGGCACGAUUUUGCAUGCACUCAGCCCAUAUACUUUAAGAUGUUAGAUGAGAGAAAUAUUAAGUAUCAAUAUUAGUUUCCAGAUAAAGGUUGAAUCAAUUGCAUAAUCACUCUAGGUUUAGACUUCAGAGUCCUAGUAGAAGACGACAAAACUUGGUGGCGAUAGAAUAUCGGCCUAGAAUAAUUCUGAGUAUAUUAAGAGAAUAUACUGACGAACUUGAAUAUUAUAAGCAUUUUACAACUCAGCAAACUUGCCAUCACGAAAUUCACCCUUAUAAAUACGCGAGCUUGCAACAUCGAAGGCCCUUUCAACUCAACAAACAACUCAAAAACUCUACACGAAAAUCCUUGCUCUAUGCGAAAACCUUCUCACAACCCUAAGAAAAAUACUAACUAUCGUAACCUUCAUGUCAAUGCAUCUUCAGUUUGGAUAAGUAAACAAUACUGGAGCCGUAGAACCAGACGAUUCAAGAGCAUGCACCUUCGGUUUGGAUAAGUAAACAAGACUGCUUCUUGUUAGUUAUCUAUCCAAGUCUCGGCCGACGAAGAGUUCUUAAUUCUUUCGCUUUUUUAAGGUUACUUCAUUAGCUUCCCAAUGAAGUAAGGUGCUACCAAUUCACUUUGUUCUGGGUCAUUUAUCGAACUUCACAAUGAAAAGUAACCUUGUCUUAAGGUUAGCAGAACCCUAGGUCGAGAGGUGUUUUUUUCUCAGCCGUAGUCGCUCAGGUGCAUAACUCAACAACGCAUUCGAUAUCACCAUUAUAUCUAUUCUACUCACCGACCGAGCUCGGUCAUGAGUUAGCACACUCACAUCCACAAGAAUGACGUGAUUAGCUUAAUAAUUACUUGGUUUACGCGCUAGUAAGCUUUGUAAUUUGUAGUGGUCAACAAAAGUAUAAUAAAUAAAAACAUGCAUGCGGUGGAAUGCUAGUAAUUCUGAUUUGCUUGAAUUACAAAGCUUCCAAAGAAUCCACCGAGUCAGUACUUUCUAAUAAAAGUUAAAAUGAUCAUGAAUGGAUGGGCAUAAUAAACUUCGAAUUACAAGAUGAAAAAUAAUGUUAACUACAAAAAAAUCCAAGUUUAAAGAAUCUUGGACUUCACUGAUAUCAUAUCAUGGUCACCUUUUGCUUUCUUUUUUUUUCUUACUGGCCGGUGACUUUUACGGAUUUUGCGAGAGAUUUUUAGUGUGUUGGGAACACAGCUUGAUACAUCAAAUGUAAUAAUAUAAUUAGUUGAAAUUAAAAAAAAAAUAAUCACUUAUAUUAUGACACUUGGUAUACCGAGCUCUGUUCUCGACACAUUGAAAAAUUUUAUGUACUUCGCCUUAUGAAUGUGAAUGAAUCAUGGAUAUGAAAAAUAAAUAAUUACCUUCCUCAAGCUCUUUCAAGUACGAAAUAUAGCUUAUUUGAUGCCUAAUCCAAGAUCCAAAAACUGGGUAUUUCAUACUUCAUACAUAGAUUGGUUUGAUUAUAUUUGCAAAUAACCAGAAAUAUAGCGCGUCAAUAUAGCACAAAUUACAUGCAUAAUCACUCAUCACGUGAUGAAUGCUAUACUCUCAUAGAAUAUGUUCCACACAAUGCAAAAACCUCUUUAAAAUCACUGAUGUGACAGUGAAAAUAAGAGCAAUUUGUGAUUAUAAUCCUUGUCUAAUAUCCAUUAGCUUUGUAAUACGUAAAUCACGGUAUGCAAUAAUAAUAGUACGUGAACAUUAUGAAUUAUAGAAUUUGACUGCAUUAAAAUUUAAUAUCCAAAAGUACUGAAUAGUACACAUAUAUUUUAUUUACAGAUGUGACUUGUUUGAGCCCGAUUCAUCAACAUAUUUUAGCUACAAAACGACAGUAAGCAAAUUUGGGUUUGGUCCAUUUAGGUCAUCUUCAAUCGAAGGAUUGUCAGAAGACUCGUUUUAGCUCACUGAUCUUUCAAGAAAUUAAUAUUUUAAUGAACAAUACAUGACCAUAUUUCUUACCAUCUCCAACCGAGGGGCCAGAGAGUCAUAGGCCAAACAUAGCCAUGUGACAAAAAACCAUCUCUAAUUGAGGGUCAAAUGGACCGUAGGGCUAAACAUAAUUUCUUAUUUAAAUUUAAAAACUACAACAACUUAAAUGUAAAAACUACAACAACUUAAAUUUAAAAACUACAACUUAAAUUUAAAGUCUACAAUCAUUAUCAUAUUCAUCAUCCGCUAUUGUAGAAGUAUAGUCGGAGGUAAACAACUGUCGUCGGGCCAUAAUUUCCUUCUUUUUCCUAUCAAAAUAUGCCUUACUCAUUAGAGUGUAAUCCGAAGUGUUCAUUUGCAUAUUCCUAUCGUCCAACUCUUUUUGUAUUUGUUUGGCCCGUUCUUCAUGCCUACAGUUACUUUCUUCCGCGGCAAUGGUAUUUGCUCUGUUAUGAAUCACAAAGAGGCCACCAUUUCCUGUUGAAAGGUGAUAUCAUCCUUUACCUUGCCCUUUUCUUUCAAUAUUCGGGCUUUGUUUCACCCCAUAGCCCUAGGUAUGGAACAUUCACCCGAAGACGGAUUUUCUACCCUUGUUUCUUGAAUGGUAGGAGAUCCAUCUUCAUCCCCAUCUACAGUUGAGGAUGCAGUUCCGAACACCAGCGUAGGACCUAUUCUAUGUUCCCAUCUAUAAGCCCUGCACUUGUUUGAGAAAUCCCCCUCACACUAUCAUCUGAGACCCAUUUAUAAGCCCUGCAAAGAGCUUCAUCUUCUUUUCGAGUUCAAGCCCUACCUUUCAUUGCAGAUGUGGCCAUUUGAAAAUUAUUGAAAAAAUUGAAGGAAAGAUUAUUGGAAGAGGUAAGAAAAUAUAAUGUGACGAAUUGAAAUAGAAUGAGGUGAGAUAGUGGGGAAUAGUGAAAAUUAUGUGAGAAAUUGUGUAGGAAUGACUUAGAUAUAUUUAUAGGGAAAAAAAAGGAAUUUAAAAAAAAAUUUAAUUUGGCCCAAAAAAGAGGAAUCAGGCCAACUGGUUGGCCCAAAUGAGCCAGCUAGCUAGCCCCGGGCCACACGCAUAAUGGCUUGCAAAUGGAAAGUGAAGGUCGUGACUCAGGAGGUAGCUACGGCUGAUGAUGAUGGAAAGGAAGUGAGGUUUCUUGGGAAAAAGCUCAUUCCCAAUUUCAUCAAAUUUUAGGCUCCAAUUGGAAAAUUCAACCUCUGAUCAAAUUGAAAUUUGAAAUUUAGGGCUUUGAUUGGGGGAAAUGGCGAUGCUUUUGGAGGAUAUUUUGAAGUCGGUGGAGCUCUGGUUAAAGCUGAUCAAGAAGCCUGAGCCUUACGUGGAUCGAAAUCUUGACCCCGUUCUGCUAGUUCCGAGCAUCGCCGGUUCGAUCUUGAAUGUCGUCGAUGAAAAGAGUGGUGCAGAAUUAAACAAAAGCUAAUUUGUGGCUUUUCAUUCUCGUGCAACUGAACCUGGAUAUGUCAAUUGUACCUUUUUAAAUGGAAUGUCAUUUGUUGACGGGUGGGAACAUAAUUUUUUUAUAUCAAAAUGGAGCAUGCACCAACUGGUAUGAGUCCAUUUCUAUGGGUUGUGGAAUUUGAAACAAAAAUGUAAUCUUUUUACGGGAUGAAGAAAGUUAUUUGUUAAAAGAGAGAAUGUUUUAAAAUUAAAACAAAAAAAUAACAUAAGAUGGUAGAAGUAUUUGAUAGUAAAGCAUUUCACAAACAUUUAUUUCUUCUUUGCAUUCAUUUUUUUCUUAUUGAGGUUUGUUGCAAUUUUCCAGCUUAUUGAGUACCCAUUAGUAUAUGAAUUGAUGAAUUGUUGUUUUUAAAUUUAAGUUGUCGUCUUUAAAUUUAAAUUGUUGUAGUUUUAAAUUAAAAUAAUAAAUUAAAUUUGGCCCUAUGACCCUUUGGCUCCUUCGGUUGGAUAUGAUUUUUUGUCACAAGGCUAUGUUUGGCCUAUGACUCUCUGGCCCCUCGGUUGGAGAUGGUAAGAAAUUUGAUCUGGUACUGUUCAUUCAAAUAUUAAUUUCUUGAAGGGCUAUAAAACUAAAAUGAGCUAUCUGACCCUCCUUCUGUUGGAGAUGGCCCUGCGACCUUGACAUUGGUAAAGCUAAGCAUCGCACACAGGCUUCCAAACAAAAACUUAAAAGGGAAACUCAGAUGUGAUCAUAUACAAACCAUCCCAACAAGGUCGUUGUGCGCGUCUGGUAGGCAUUCUCACUAGGCCGUAAUAUUUUGGGCCCCUUAUGAUUUAAUUUCACGUUCUUGCUUUAUUCUCAACCCAUAAACUAUAUGCCUUGCAUAGUGACUUGAGGUUUUUUGUCCCUUUCCAUCAGUUAUAUGUGAGUGAUCGGUGGUCGUUGAUAGACGUUUAGCGCAUGUAAUUGAUUGAUAGUCGUUAGUUAAUAUUUGUAAACUAUACAUUUUCAUUCUUUAAAAAAAAAAUUGAAAAAGAGAUCUAGUUGGUGGUGAAGUCACGACAGUCCACGCUUUAGGGGUUUCGAAAGUCUAAAAGUAUUUCAGCCUCACCUGACCACCAUCGUGUGAUUCACCAGCAGUAAAAAUCGAACUCAAGACAAACCAUGUGGAAUACAGGCUUGAAAUUUGCCUCAACUACCGGGCGACGUGUGGUGGUUCAUUAAACAAUACAUGUUGGUUCACGUGCAUACAAACGCUUGAGGAUUAUGCCUGUAUGCAUAUUAUUUAGAAAUAUUGUGUUUGAUCAAUAUGGAGCAUAAUAAACAUGAAAUUUUUUCUUUAUAACUGAGAUAUACCUUUUUGUAUAUUUGUGGUGACGUGAUAGAUUUCCUUGUCGUAAGCAUAUAAAGAAUAGAAAGCAACAUUGAGCAAAUCAUAAUUCAAUUUCCUGGUAAAUUUUAAUGAGUUAAUGCGUUCCACUAAGGUUGAUUUGUCCCUAAUCAUGAAAGUAUUAUUGUCCUCGUUCGAGCUCAACAGUUCAUUUCCAUUUUUGUGUGAAGUGGUUCAAGGUGGACGCUUGUGUGUUGAGGGACUUACAGCUAAGAGGUCACAUCUCAUGUAAUGUCUUACUCUUCCUCUGGUUAUAUAUGUUCAUCUUUUAUCAUAAUUGGACGGUUAUUGGUUAAUCAUUUAAUCUAAGCCACUAGGUUACCUCAUUGUGACGGUAAGUAGGAGUAGGCUAGAUCCAUGGUUCGUAAUCAAUUUAACAAAAUAAAUCCUUUUCAAUACCUUCAUAUCUUAUUAUAAGCCUUUAAAACUCAAGCGGGUUUGAAUGCCAAUCAAUUCCUAAUCCAACUUUCAACAAUUUGAACUCGAGUAGGGUUUGGAUUUAUGCAGGUUCUUUUGAGCUCAAGUUUCAAUUACAUUUGAGCUUAUUUGGGUUGUCAAACUUUAUCAAGUUCAAACUUGUAACACUUUUUAGACAGAUUUUUCAUAAUUUGAACCAAAAUAUUGCUAGUACUAGUUAAAUUCAAUUUCACAAUGCAACAUUUACACAAAAGUUUAAAUCAAAUAGCAUCAAAACCAUUUUCAAAGUACCAGCCAUGCAAUGUUAGAAUUAAAUUACAAAACAAUACCCAAGCUUCAACACAAUAAAAUGUUAAUGAAACACUUAUGUUCAUUGUUGAAAUGAAAAAACCACCAACAAACUCCAAGUAAUGGCAUCCCAAAAUUAGGUCAGUAAGCGAAUUUAGAUUAAUAGUCGGGUUAGAUUUGGGUUGACAUGGCAGACAAGAUACCGACCCAAAUCAUUACAACUCAAGCCAAUAAAUAAUCCGGACGAGGUCGUGUGGAGUUAGAGCUCAGUCCUACCGGCCGAACCAGAUUUAAAAUCAACUAAACAUGAAGGGAAUGAGAUAUGACCCAACCCAAAUUAUACCUGUAAAAUGACCUUCGUAUAGAGGCCUUUCAAAAUUGGGCCCAUGUAAAAGGUAGCAACGGUUAGAUUGAGGAAAACCAGAGGAAAACCAGGCCGAGUCGAGGUACAUAACUUAGGUAUCUACGAAAUAACUUGGACAAAAAUGACGUGCCCGCAACAUAAGGCCUAAUUCAUGCGCUCUUCUUCCAAUAGAAAUGCCUUGACUUUGUUGGUUACCCACUGACUUGCAUGAAACCACAUGCCUUCAAGGGGCUAUCAUUCUCACAGUCUUACUUAAUAUCCCCACAAUAUGGUAUUUCUUUCAUUUGUAAGUGAGAUGCUUUAAAUUCAAUUCUUGUCAAAAACGAAUUUGAACCACAUUAUUUUAGCUCAUUGUGAGGCUUAACCCAAUCUCCCACUUUGUUAGCAUAGAUAAUAUCAUUUGUUCAAAAAACAAAAAUCCCGACAACUAAAGAUACUUAUAUUGACGAACGGUGAAUUAAAAUAUCACAAUUUAGAUAAACUUAAAAUUUGACUACAUAAAUAUUGUUGUUUAACAAACAUAUAUUUGAUAAGAGAAUAUUUAUGUCUGAAUAAAUACCUCACACAAACCAUGUUCAAACGCGGAUUCAAAAUCAAAUGGGAAGAGAAGGGAAGUGUGGGUUCCGUUGAGACAAAGACAAAGGACCCUUUAUCACAUUCAAAUUAGGAGUCCAAGUCCAACCGUUACUAUUUCUUAAAAACGCAUUUCUUGCCUUUUGCUUUCAAAGAUUUCCAAAUCCAUGAACCUUCUCUGAAUCAGUCGACCACGCCAAAACCGAACGACUGCAUCAAACAACAAUUUAAAUAUUUAUUAAAAAAAAAAAGAACACUUCUUCAUAAUAUAAUAUACAGCUUUCUACUAAGCUGUAUUUACAUUACAUAAUUGAUUAUCCAACUCUCUCUCUCUCUCUCUCUCUCUCUCUCUCUCUCUCUCUCUCUCUACGCGUUUGAAAAAAGCACACGCAGAAACUCACAUAUAUAAACACUCUCUCUCUCUUCCUCCAAAUUCAAAAACCCAAACUUUCAAGUCCCCCAAAAGAACCCAGAAGCCAUGGACUCGAGCUCCAGGAACUGGCCUCCGAUCUUGGCCCUCAAUCUUCUGCUUAUUUUCAUGAUCCUCCCCUUCUCACUCGCCCAAUCCACCGCCCAAGCUCCGCCGCCGGCCUCCGACUCCUGCAACGGCGUCUUCCUGUCGUACGCCUACACCACCGGAGCCCAGCUCCCGCCCGAGGUCAAAGACCCGUCCCAGCAGCCCUACCGGUUCGAGUCGGUGCUCACGGUGCUCAACAACGGGCUCGACGAUCUCAAGUCGUGGAGGGUGUUUGUGGGGUUUACUAACAAUGAGUACUUGGUCUCUGCCUCCAAUGCCGUUUUGGCCGACGGGAGUAGCAUUCCUGGGAGUGUGGGAAACGGCACCGUUUUUGCUGGGUAUCCGAUGACCGAUCUGAAAACGGCGGUUAAGACGGCGGGGGACUUGACCCAGAUGC
This 14463-nucleotide long non-coding RNA is filed under the name Malus domestica (apple). RNAcentral describes it as "long non-coding RNA (MDOM_LNC011946)". The record is from RNAcentral. Lineage: Eukaryota; Viridiplantae; Streptophyta; Magnoliopsida; Rosales; Rosaceae.